Molecule: ribosomal RNA, 253 nt
Filed under: uncultured bacterium
Lineage: Bacteria
Description: partial 16S ribosomal RNA
Rfam family: Bacterial small subunit ribosomal RNA
Source: RNAcentral
UACGGGGGGGGCAAGCGUUGUUCGGAAUUACUGGGCGUAAAGGGCUCGUAGGCGGCCAACUAAGUCGGACGUGAAAUCCCCAGGCUCAACCUGGGAACUGCGUCCGAUACUGGAUGGCUUGAAUCCGGGAGAGGGAUGCAGAAUUCCAGGUGUAGCGGUGAAAUGCGUAGAUAUCUGGAGGAAUACCGGUGGCGAAGGCGGCAUCCUGGACCGGCAUUGACGCUGAGGCUCGAAAGCAUGGGGAGCAAACAGG